AAAAUUGUCCAAAAUAUUUGAUGCACUAUACCCAACCUAAACCCUAUCUGGAGCUGAACCGGAUUCGAUAAAAAAUAGAUAGUAUGCAGGUAAAAAAAUUACCCAUUAAAGUUUCGGAUAUGGGUCCGGAUAUUUUUUACCCAUACCCGAUUUAGACUCGAUCCGAACCCAACUUUUAAAUGGAUAGGGUUGGGAAUAGUUUUCAAUUCCGGACCUGGACCCGAUGAAAUAUUCCAUAGUAAAUAAAAAAUAUUUGAACUUUUGAAGUUGAUGCAUCAAUUUUAAUAGGACUUAUAGAUGAGAGAUCUCUAAGGCUUCAUUUGGUUCGGAUAUAAGUAAGAACUGUCUAUUUCAGGGAUAGGUAUAUGUUCAGGUAUAAACAAAAAUUAGACAAAUUUUACAUUUUGUUGAAAAUUGAGUUAUUUCCGGGAAUAAGAAAAAUAGCAUUUGGAUUUUGGAUAAAUAAGAUGGAAUAAGAAGAAUAUUAGGAAGUUAUAAAUAGAAAAUAAUGAUAUUGCCCGUUAUAUUAUAUUUGAAUUUAAAUUUUUAAAUUAUAUAUUUAAAUUUUAAAUUUAAAUAUAUAACUUUUAAAUUUUAUAAAUUCAAAUUUUAAAUUUAAAUUUUUAAAUCUCAAAUUUGAAAAUCCAAUUUUCUAAACUUUAAAUUUUAAAUUUAAGAUUAAAUUUAAAUUUAAAAAUCUAAAAUAUCAAAUUUUGAAUUUAAUUUAAAAUAUCAAUUUAAAAUUUAAAUUUUAAAUUUUAAAAUUUAGAAUUUAAAACUAUAAAAUUUUUAUUUAAAUUUUUUAAAAAUUAAAUAAAGAUGGGAACAGCUAUUGCCACUCUUAUUCCAAGGGAACCCCACCUCUAACGGGUUAUAGACCGUUAUGGGUGGGGUUAGCAAUCUCCAGCCCCAAAAAUCUCAUUUGGGGAUAAGGGCAGAUAACCCCCUUAUCCCCCUAAUCCCCAUUUGGGGAUAAGGGGAUAACCCCUUAUCUUUCCUAAUCUCCCAACCAAACGCUAUGUAAGUGUUUUCAUCCUAGUAAAACACUGAAAUCCUAACCGCUCUUUUACUCUUUUCUUUUUUCUAAUUUUUUUACUCUUUGUUUUUUAUUUUUUGUUUUUUUUUCAUUUUCUUCUAAGAGUUUUUUAUGAAACAAUAUUUCCAUCAUCAUCAUCAGCGAUAUUAAUACGUGGGACAAGUAAGUUUUCUUUUCAAAUCCAUUUUCCAAUCAUAGUCAACAACCUAAUUUUUUUUUCAAUAAAUAUUCUAUUUAGUAAAUUUUAUAAUCCCGCUUUAUUUUUUUUCUCUUUUUUUGAAUGUUAGUACAUAAUAUUAGUAAUUACUACAACUUAUAUUCUCUUUUUAUCUAUAAUAUGGUAUCAUAAUUUUUUUAUUUUUUAUAUUUACAUAAGAAAUUGUUUUGAAUUUUAGGCUUUUAAUCAAUCAAUAUAAUGGCCGAAACAAGCUCUGUCCAGACAAUUUAAUAAAGUCUAUAAAAAUAUAUAUGUAUACGGGUACCCGUACCUGAUUUAGACACGACGUGCACCUGGUCUUGAACGGAUAGUCGCUAUCCAAACCCGCUCAAAUAGACCCGAUGGGUAUAUUAGUAACUUAAGUAUCGAGAUCCGGAUCCGACCCAAAGUUAAUUGGAUAAGGUUUUUUUUUUUCUAACUAUUUCUUUUUAGAGUACGGAUACAGUAUAUCAACUAUCCAGAUCCGACCCAGUCCACGGACACCUAUAAUUCGUAGAUAUUAUUUGAUCGUGUUGUUU
This 1771-nucleotide long non-coding RNA is filed under the name Ananas comosus (pineapple). Its description in RNAcentral is "long non-coding RNA (ACOM_LNC043496)". Lineage: Eukaryota; Viridiplantae; Streptophyta; Magnoliopsida; Poales; Bromeliaceae. The record is from RNAcentral.